Molecule: long non-coding RNA, 355 nt
Organism: Gossypium arboreum
Lineage: Eukaryota; Viridiplantae; Streptophyta; Magnoliopsida; Malvales; Malvaceae
Exons: 3
Source: RefSeq, a predicted model, not a curated record
UAAAAGAAAAGGAAAUGAAAACGAAAACAGAGAAGAAACAGGGGAGAAAGAAGAAAGAAAAGGGGAAAUAGGGUUUAUGAAGCUUGGAGUUAAUUGCCAACAAAGAACCUGAAGCAUCAGCAUCGAAAGGAAAGGAGAAAGUCAUCGAGGACUAAAACGGGAGAAUUACGGUUAGUAGAAGUCAAGUGUCCCGGCUCAGUAUCCAGAACAAUCUCGACUCCAACACAAACUUGGUGAUGUAUAUUUUUCUUUUGGGUAAAGGUGGCAUGUACAUAGGUGUUAUUUAGUCACUUGAAUAUGUAUAUUACUUUGGGUAGUGAAGGAUGAAUUAUAAAAUUUAGAUGGUUAAAUGAAA